This is a non-coding RNA of Thalictrum thalictroides, 304 nucleotides long. Lineage: Eukaryota; Viridiplantae; Streptophyta; Magnoliopsida; Ranunculales; Ranunculaceae. The record is from the annotation of a GenBank genome assembly.
GCCGAGCUCAGAAACGUGAGCUUGUAACUCAAGUGAGGGCAUUAAAGUGAUUGGACUUUGGGCUUUGGCUAACCUGGUUGGGCUUGUGGUGCACGUACUGACUCGCCCGUUCCAAGUUGGGAGUUGGGCCAUGUGUCACGGGCUAAGGCCUGUGAAACUUGGUUCCUAGAGAGGAGGGCACCUCGUCAGGCUGGCUUCACAGAGCAGCGAAAACCUCCCUCUCUCGACAGUGGAAGGAUAACGAGAUAGGUGCUCUUUGAGCCCAUGAAGGCCAGAUGGCCCAGCCCAAAGAACAAUCACUUUU